AUUGAACGCUGGCGGAAUGCUUUACACAUGCAAGUCGAACGGCAGCACGGGGGCAACCCUGGUGGCGAGUGGCGAACGGGUGAGUAAUACAUCGGAACGUGCCCGGUCGUGGGGGAUAACGUAGCGAAAGUUACGCUAAUACCGCAUACGAUCUGAGGAUGAAAGCGGGGGACCUUCGGGCCUCGCGCGAUCGGAGCGGCCGAUGUCAGAUUAGGUAGUUGGUGGGGUAAAGGCCUACCAAGCCGACGAUCUGUAGCUGGUCUGAGAGGACGACCAGCCACACUGGGACUGAGACACGGCCCAGACUCCUACGGGAGGCAGCAGUGGGGAAUUUUGGACAAUGGGCGCAAGCCUGAUCCAGCCAUUCCGCGUGCAGGACGAAGGCCUUCGGGUUGUAAACUGCUUUUGUAUGGAACGAAAAGGCUCUGGCUAAUACCUGGGGCUCAUGACGGCACCGUAAGAAUAAGCACCGGCUAACUACGUG
This 484-nucleotide ribosomal RNA is filed under the name uncultured bacterium. RNAcentral's name for it is "partial 16S ribosomal RNA". It matches the Rfam family "Bacterial small subunit ribosomal RNA", at positions 30 to 507 of the family's 1533-position model. The record is from RNAcentral.